RNAcentral lists this ribosomal RNA (372 nucleotides) under Triticum aestivum (bread wheat). RNAcentral's name for it is "partial small subunit ribosomal RNA". The record is from RNAcentral. Lineage: Eukaryota; Viridiplantae; Streptophyta; Magnoliopsida; Poales; Poaceae.
AUGCUGGCCCCCCUGGGCCUGCUUCAAGCUAUAGAAGAUGGGACUAAGCUACUUUUUAAAGAAGAUAUUCUGCCAUCCCGAGGAGAUAUUUCUUUAUUUAGCAUUGGACCCUCUAUAGCGGUCAUAUCAGUUUUUUUAAGUUUUUUAGUUAUCCCUUUGGGAUAUCAUUUUGUUUUAGCCGAUCUUAGUAUUGGUGUUUUUUUAUGGAUUGCCAUUUCAAGUAUAGCUCCUAUUGGUCUUCUUAUGGCAGGAUAUAGCUCAAAUAAUAAAUAUUCUUUUUUAGGCGGUCUACGAGCUGCUGCUGAAUCCAUUAGUUAUGAAAUACCAUUAACUUUUUAUGUGCUAGCAAUAUCUCUACGUGUGAUUCGUUAA